GACGAACGCUGGCGGCGUGCCUAAUACAUGCAAGUCGAACGCACAGUUUAUACCGUAGCUUGCUACACCAUAGACUGUGAGUUGCGAACGGGUGAGUAACGCGUAGGUAACCUGCCUGGUAGCGGGGGAUAACUAUUGGAAACGAUAGCUAAUACCGCAUAAUAUUGAUUAUUGCAUGAUAAUUGAUUGAAAGAUGCUAUUGCAUCACUACCAGAUGGACCUGCGUUGUAUUAGCUAGUAGGUGAGGUAACGGCUCACCUAGGCGACGAUACAUAGCCGACCUGAGAGGGUGGUCGGCCACACUGGGACUGAGACACGGCCCAGACUCCUACGGGAGGCAGCAGUAGGGAAUCUUCGGCAAUGGACGAAAGACUGACCGAGCAACGCCGCGGGAGUGAAGAAGGUUUUCGGAUCGUAAAGCUCUGUUGUAAGAGAAGAACGGGUGUGAGAGUGGAAAGUUCACACUGUGACGGUAUCUUACCAGAAAGGGACGGCUAACUACGUG
Molecule: ribosomal RNA, 505 nt
Filed under: uncultured bacterium
Lineage: Bacteria
Description: partial 16S ribosomal RNA
Rfam family: Bacterial small subunit ribosomal RNA
Source: RNAcentral